RNAcentral lists this transfer RNA (112 nucleotides) under Candidatus Bathyarchaeota archaeon. Its description in RNAcentral is "tRNA-Leu". It matches the Rfam family "tRNA". Rfam says of the family: Transfer RNA (tRNA) molecules are approximately 80 nucleotides in length. Their secondary structure includes four short double-helical elements and three loops (D, anti-codon, and T loops). Further hydrogen bonds mediate the characteristic L-shaped molecular structure. tRNAs have two regions of fundamental functional importance: the anti-codon, which is responsible for specific mRNA codon recognition, and the 3' end, to which the tRNAs corresponding amino acid is attached (by aminoacyl-tRNA synthetases). tRNAs cope with the degeneracy of the genetic code in two manners: having more than one tRNA (with a specific anti-codon) for a particular amino acid; and 'wobble' base-pairing, i.e. permitting non-standard base-pairing at the 3rd anti-codon position. The record is from RNAcentral. Lineage: Archaea; Thermoproteati; Candidatus Bathyarchaeota.
GCGGGGGUACCCGAGCCAGGUCUAAAUAGCGGCUGAAACCCUAGGAAAAGGGGGAGGACUUAAGAUCCUCUGGCGAAGGCCUCCGCGGGUUCGAAUCCCGCCCCCCGCACCA